AAAGAAAUUUUAAUCUUUCAAUUUCGCCCCCGUUUGGUCACCGAAAGCUCUACCGAACUGUAAUCUCUAGCAGAUAGCAGUCGGAUAUUAUUUCCCACCUUCUGGGUGUCAGAAUGAUAUGAAACUUUAAAUCUAGUCUCAUAAAAAUAAUUCUGACAUAUUCUCUAAUUUUCAUAAUUUUCUGACACUGUGCAUUUUCUGCUAAAAUAUCAGCUCUGUUUCUCACAGAAAAUUCUAAAUCUUCUGUUUUCGUUCCGAUUUCAGCAUGAGCCAUUCCAGACUUAUAUUUUACCUCUUUAAAUCCAAUAAAAAUAGUAUCUCACACUAUUUUCAUUUACAUUCACUUUUAAAUUAAAAAUCCGGUAUGUUACAUUCUCCACCCUUUAAAAAGAAUUUCGUCCGCGAAAUUCAAUCCACGCCUCAAUUCAGCUCCUUGAGCAAUUGAGGGCACCAAUGCACUUUCCCACUCCGAAAUGGCCUCACGUUCACCGGAACGAUUCAAAGGCCCGCUACGGAGGAUACGAAAUCAAACGCAUACAUGUUUGUAAGGCGCAGCACAUAAAGUGCAUUACGGUCUCCAUAAUUUUCAGUGGCAGCGCAAGUCGAAACUGGACGACUCUAAGCGCUCCAACACCAUGUGUCACCUGGCACACAAGGCACUCUUCCUUGUAUUUACCUUUCCUUUAGGGAAUACAUCCCGAUUCGAUCACCGACAUUGCUGCAAUAUCACCGGUGCAUCGCUCCAUCGUGAGUGCUCCAAUUCCGCACUGAUGGCCCACCUCGACGUAUCCCAAUUCCAAUUCUCAAACUACACAUGGCUUCCCACUAGCUCAAGGUCUCACCAAGAGCACUUCAUCUCCUGAUACCAUAUGCCACGGUCAAUGUCAAAUCACUUUCGCAACGAGCUCACACGAACGUUUCGUUCGUGAACUCAAGUCGAACUCCUCGACAAGGCUAUUCGCCAAAUCGCUUUUCUCAGUUUCAUAGGUGGCCUACAGACUGCCAGUGCCACAAAGACCUAUCGCCUAACCUGUCUUGAUACGCAGCGUCUCUCGCUCUCAAAUGCAAACCCAAUCAUCUUUGGGCGAAAAUUCUCACUUGGGAAUUCGCACACACUCCAACCAGGAGCAACUAUGACCCCAAACCACUAUAAAUCCUCGGAUUGACUCACAACCGAACUCUCGGUACACUAUUGACCACACGAUCUAGUACGUGGCAUUCCACAUACCCUGGUCUAAGCUCGGACUACCGCCCCGACCACAACUCUGCCCCUUCGGUAGGCUGCUGUCACACACAGCCGACUGCGCCUGUUCACAUGGACCCAGGCUCUACAGUCCACAAAUGGUCCAGGUACGGAUCGUCCCCAAGCAAUACCCGCUACCGUCAUCACACACGACACUCUCUACGAACAACACGUAUCACUACCGGCUCCUAAGCACCUAGUGCGAGCCACCAGCCCUACGAGUGAUCCAUGGCAUGCUUCACACCUAGCAACGCUCAAGUGCUACUGCCAACACACUCACUCGGCCGAACCAAAUCCGCACUCCACGAGUACCUAUACUCGAGCGUUGUAUGCUACUAUAACGUUCUACACUAAGUCUUGGCUUUGGGCAAGAUUGCCCCCGCGCACCGUCUACCAAACACAUUCUCCUACCUCACAUUGAGGUACAACUAGGCCCACAGGACAAACUUGGCUACUAACCGACUAUUCCGUCAACAGUGAUUCUACUUUCACUGUUCGACCUACCGGAAUGACAUCCGAAAUUUCCGGAUUACUCAGGUGUCCUCAAAUAUCACGGCUCAACUCUCGCAAUCUACUAAUCAAGUUGCUCUGAGAGUCGCUUCACCAUUUCCAUCUCUAUCAUGAGUUUUAUCAUCUCUCACCAUAGAUCACUACUAGCACUUCGCUGGUGCCAUCUGGCUCUAUACCUGUACUGGCAGGUACUACGCCCUCACAACAUGAGCAUGCCCGGGUAUCUAUACUUACCCGUUCACUCGGUCUCUAUUAUGCUCAUGCACGACAAUAGUAAUUAACCACAUAACCAUUGCAUGUAAUGCAUCAACUUCACAUCAUGCAAAACACAUGCUUGCAUCAAUAACUCAUACCUGCAAUGACGUCGUCAGCAGCAGGUUCCUCAACAUGGGUCGCGUAUCUACAGCCACCCGGUGCUCUUCGCGAACCCCUAGGUUGCAUUGCCCUCAACGCCUUCUCUCCCGACCAUGCCGCAGGUGGCACACUUGCAGGCCGUCCUAGAGAGGAAUAGGCUGUCGCUAGUGUCAGGCCCCGGCUGUCACCUUGCGGACACUCGUCCAGCGCACAGCCCGGUUGCCCACACCUGUAGCACUUGCCCUCUUACAGCUCACACUGCUGUGGGUAACGAAAACACCCACAAACGACACAUCUCACCAAGGACCGAAUACAGUAGGUCCCCAGAACUCGGGAUCACGAGCGCGAACACAUUGCACUUAGUUGAGAACUUAACGGACCGCUGAAUCCACUCGUUGGCCGUCCUAUUCCCUUUUUUCUUGCAACAAGACUCACGCUCCCCCCGCACAAUUGCACCACCUUGUUCUAUCCACAAAGUCUAAUCCUCAAAUCUCCUCUAAUCUCCACCAAUCCACACUCAGGAAGGGCUCCUAGAGAAAUAGAGGGAGAAAAACCACAUGUUGGGUGGUCUCUAACUGUGAACAAGAGAGGAGGAGUCGAUGGGGUCUUUAUAGGAUGUCACAAUCGCAUUUAAACCCUUUCCCCAUUCAUAUUUGUAGUAGACCAAAGUUUGCUGCGAAGGCCCCUUCGUACCGGUACAACCAUCAACUGGUACCGGUACAUCUUCGCGCAUCAGCCCAAACCCGAGAGUUGCUGUUUCGGGUUUUACACUGUGUACCGGUACACUUCUAGUCUGUCACCGGUUACAACAUUUCGUAGAGGCAAACCCGAGAGCUGUUUCUUUCGGUUUACGAUGCUGUACCGGUACACCCCUGGUGUUAAACCGGUAACACAAGUUCCAGAAUAUCAGUUUCGCGCCGUUUCGGCUCUAUUUCGCGUCGAUCGAUGCUAAAACCUUCCUAACUCCUUUGGAACUCAUUUUUAAUCCUUCCAACAUUGUUGGAAUGUCAAUUGAAUUUUGUCCAGCUAUUUCUCUCGACGCACUUUGGUCAAUUUGACCAAAAGUGAUCUAACACGACGAGAAUUCCGUUAAUUUCUCAAAGGUCAUGAGGGCUACCAAAGCUCACGAAGUUCCAAGUCUCUGCUCGCCUCAAAUUGCCCAGGGACACCACUUGGCCCAUUCCGCGCCGAUCUAAACGAAGAUCGCCUACGUAGUGCUAUCGCUUCCUAAAUUGUGACAACUCUAGUCACUCCUCGACCCUCCGGGUCGAACAUGAGGCAAUUAAUACCGACCUCAAAUCGGGCGAAAGUUACGCAAGGGCGUCUAUUCUCAUCACUCGGCUUCAUGUUGUGUGCACCCAACAUGAACACCCUCGGUUGAGAAUAAACCUCGCCUUGAGUCAACCUCUAACAUCCGUUUUAGAGGUUUAUAACACAACCCAAUCCAUAAUCCUUUCGCCGCAAGUCACAAGUCAUCGUCUCUCACGAGCCUUAAUCUCCUAUGGUUUACUAUCCUAGGGUCUCCUAGGUCCAACUAAACCAUUUCUAUUAUUCUUUUUAUGUUCUAUUUUAUUCUCUGAUACCAUCUUAUCUAUCACGCCCCGAGCCCGCCUAUUUGGUCGGUUUCGGGCACGCCAGCAGACCGUCGAACGGACAGGGUUUCCCCUGUACCGCGGACAGAGUCUCCCCUGUACGUCCAAGGCGUCAUAAUCCAAACAAUGCAAUAUACAAGGUUCCAACCAGGAACAGUAUUCAAACAAGGAUUGCAUAAGAAAGUAUCAAAAACAUAAUUACAACUAUGUUAUUACAAGCAUUCAUCUCAAAUUUUAUAUAUUACAUGCAUCUUACAUUUCAGUCUUCCAAAUACAAUCCAAAUUAUUACAAAUUAUUAAAAUCUUAUUCUUUUCAUUACUAAACCCCUAAGCUAAGCCGACUUAGGGUACCGCUAUCUCUGAUCUCGGCGGUAGGGCGCUAACUAUGGAGCUACGCUCUUGCCUCGCGCCGCCGCGCCGCUCACGUGCGAACCUGUACCUCCAAAAGCAAUACAGGGGUGAGAACUAUUGUCCAUAGUUUUUAGUGGGUACGGCCAUUCAAGGAAAAAGCUCGACCCACCAGGUCCAAAGGAGGCACUGUAAACAUGUUAGUCCAACAGAUAUCCACAAAUAUUCAAUGCAAAUAUUAAAUAUAUGUUUAUGCCUGAAGACAUGCAAUAUAUAAAUCAUGCAACUCAUAUAAGUAGAUUUAUUGAUUCUACUCUCUAUCAAUUACCAUUCUUUAUAUUAUUCGCAAUUCUUUAUCACUCGCCAUUCUUUACUCUUUAUUCUUAGCCACAUUUUGCUCAAAUGUCAUUCUUUCCUAAGGUUACAUUUACCUUAGCCAACUAUGCCACUCGACUCGGUCUUGAGUCAAUUCAUGAUGAAUGCAAGAUUACUGUUUAGAUCCCAAUCUCUAGGCUAGCCCGUAGGUUUCGCCCUCAAUAGACUCACCAACUCAAAUCCCAGUAUCGGAGAGGCUACUAUACCCGACGGGACCGUCAUCUGGAGAAGCUACUACACCCAGUGAUGAUAACUCCGGAGCACAUCGCCCGAGGGGAAGCUACCACCCUCGAGCAAAGACUUACAGGUGAGUAUGAUCCAAUCCUUAACUAUAAGGAUGUCUAGUUUAAUCCAUUCCUUAACUAUAAGGAAAUAAUGCACAUAUGACCCUUAACUCUAAAGUUAUUAUGUCAUAAUGUCACUAUCAUUCUUUUACUUGCAUUCUUUACUUUCAUUAGUGUCAUUUACACUACUUGUUCUUUAUACUCGUUUUCAUGCACUCGAUUGUUCUCAUUAAUGCCACACACACUAAGUGUUCUCUUUCUAGCAUUCUUAAGCAUUGAUUAUAUUCAUUAAUGCCACUCAUACAUUUAUGUCAACAUGUCACUUUAUUUUUAAGUUUUCAUUGUUAUAUCAAAUGCCACAAUGUCACAAUUCCACACGUAUAUACUUUUUAGCACAUUUCACAACUUUCCAUCAUGCAUACUUCCAUCCAGCAUACUCCACAAUGUCAACAUGCAUAUUCAUCUAUCAUAUUCCACUAUAUGUCUAUAUAUAUAUACCAAACAUUCAUAUGCCAUCUAACAUGUUCCAUAAUUUAUCAACACGCAUAUUACCUCUAACAUAUUCCUCAAUGUAUUAACAUGUCUAUCUCAACGGUAGGUGAUAAACUUCAAACAUAAUAAGGUUCAUGCAUCCAUAUUACCUUAUGCAAUCUACCACUAUACAUGUAUGCAUCAAUAAUGAAAUAUUACUUUGCUUCGACAUGGAAGCGAGCUAGACAUUUCGGUGAGCACAACCACCUCGUAACGCUCUCCGAUUGCUUGUAGUCAUUUGCAAUCGGCCUUCCGCGGCACCCGCCGCCCGGUUCGGCCCGAUCUCACGCUCGACCACCGAAUGACCUCCAAUCCACAAUCCGAAAAUUAAAAGUCUAUAACUUGAUGCCACGAUGGUCCGGAUCCGUUCUCGUGAUUUUUGGACGUCGCCUCGGCCCUCCAGGCGAAAAUGAAGCCGAAACAUCUGUUUCUUUAAUAUCUUCACACCGGCUCGACGAAUCACCGAACCGACUUCGCCAACGCGUCGGAAUAUCUAGCAAUUAGGUUUAUAUAAGUUCAAUUUAGAUCAAACCCCAUCUAUGACAAAAUUCCCAUUUCUAAGCCCUAACAUGUACAUAUACUCCAAAUGUGCCACAAUCUCAUGGAGAAAACAUGCAUUUAGUAGUCUAGGGAUCAUUAGAAUACUAAGCAUAAAGGAUUUAACCAAAUCCUAAACACUUACCGAAAUUUGAACGUCGAGACGGAAGCACGCCGCUCAAACGGCCGCACGAGAACCCGAACCGACACCUCCAACGCAUUCCCAAGCUUCUUCUCCACCAACCCUCAAAUUUUUAGAGAGAGAUCUAGAGAGAUGAGAGAGAUAUUUAGAGAGAGAAAGGGAGGUUUCUUUCUCCCUCCAUGUGUGCGUGUGUGGGCUGGUGUGGUGCUCGGUUGAGGAAGAAGAAGGAGAAAAGCUCCUUUUGUUACACAAUAACCACCUCAACAAUACACAAUUUAAUUUCGGUUUAUCAACUCAAGUAUAGAUAAUUUUCGCCUGCCCUUCUGAAUGUCCGUUUGAGCUCAAAUUUGACAGUCAUGCUCGGUUUUACUUAACUUAAGGAAAGAAAUUUUAAUCUUUCAGUUUCGCCCUCGUCUUGGUCACCGAAAGCUCUACCGAACUGUAAUCUCUAGCAGAUAGCAGUCGGAUUUUAUUUUUCCACCUUCUGGUUGUCAGAAUGACAUGAAACUUUAAAUUUAGCCUCAUAAAAAUAAUUUUGACAUAUUCUCCAAUUUUCAUAAUUUUCUAACAUUGUGCAUUUUCUGCUAAAAUAUUAGCUCCGUUUCUCACAGAAAAUUCUAAAUCUUCUGUUUUCGUUCCGAUUUCAGCACGAGUCAUUCCAGACUUAUAUUUUACCUCUUUAAAUCCAAUAAAAAUAGUAUCUCACACUAUUUUUAUUUACAUGCACUUUUAAAUUAAAAAUCCGGUAUGUUACAGUAUAUAUAUAUAUAUUU
This 6689-nucleotide long non-coding RNA is filed under the name Ananas comosus (pineapple). RNAcentral describes it as "long non-coding RNA (ACOM_LNC001094)". The record is from RNAcentral. Lineage: Eukaryota; Viridiplantae; Streptophyta; Magnoliopsida; Poales; Bromeliaceae.